Echinops telfairi (small Madagascar hedgehog) is the source of this 301-nucleotide long non-coding RNA. RefSeq lists it as uncharacterized. The transcript is spliced from 2 exons. Lineage: Eukaryota; Metazoa; Chordata; Mammalia; Afrosoricida; Tenrecidae. The record is from RefSeq and is a predicted model, not a curated record.
GUAAUCCUUAUCGAUGCCUGCUGGCGAGAGGCUAUCAAAGGGAGGAAGAUUGCAUGGCUUGUGAAGAUAAAGGGCUGGCUGUUCCGGGGCGUGGGCUUAUCAAGCUUUAGCGCCACAAGCAUGAUCUGCUGAAUUUGGAGUUUGCUGACCAGCCUGUCUCGUUGGAGUUCAUCAACCUGAGUCAGCAGAAGCCUCCAGCCUAACACCUGAGCGAUGGCCUUAGAACCUGAACUUGGCCUUGCUCACUUCUGCAACUGUGCGUGCCGCUUUUAAAUAUAAACUUCUCUCUCUUUGCUUUCGA